AAUCAACGCUGGCGGCGUGCCUAACACAUGCAAGUCGAGCGGGAAAGGGGCUUCGGUCCCUGAGUAUAGCGGCGGACGGGUGAGUAACACGUGGGUAAUUUGCCCUUGGGUGUGGAAUAACUCAGGGAAACUUGAGCUAGUACCGCAUGACAUCCCCUUCACACACGAGUUGGGGAUCAAAGCCGGGGACCCUUCGGGGCCUGGCGCCUGAGGAGAAGCCCGCGCCCGAUUAGCUAGUUGGGA
RNAcentral lists this ribosomal RNA (243 nucleotides) under uncultured bacterium. RNAcentral's name for it is "partial 16S ribosomal RNA". It matches the Rfam family "Bacterial small subunit ribosomal RNA", at positions 32 to 254 of the family's 1533-position model. The record is from RNAcentral.